Molecule: ribosomal RNA, 924 nt
Filed under: uncultured Bacteroidota bacterium
Lineage: Bacteria; Pseudomonadati; Bacteroidota
Description: bacterial SSU rRNA
Rfam family: Bacterial small subunit ribosomal RNA
Source: RNAcentral
GGAUCCAGACUUUGAUUAUGGCUCAGGAUGAACGCUAGCUACAGGCUUAACACAUGCAAGUCGAGGGGAAACGAUAUUGGAAGCUUGCUUCCGAUAGGCGUCGACCGGCGCACGGGUGAGUAACGCGUAUCCAACCUGCCCAUCACUUGGGGAUAACCUUGCGAAAGUAAGACUAAUACCCAAUGACGUCUCUAGAAGACAUCUGAAAGAGAUUAAAGAUUUAUCGGUGAUGGAUGGGGAUGCGUCUGAUUAGCUUGUUGGCGGGGUAACGGCCCACCAAGGCAACGAUCAGUAGGGGUUCUGAGAGGAAGGUCCCCCACAUUGGAACUGAGACACGGUCCAAACUCCUACGGGAGGCAGCAGUGAGGAAUAUUGGUCAAUGGACGAGAGUCUGAACCAGCCAAGUAGCGUGCAGGAUGACGGCCCUAUGGGUUGUAAACUGCUUUUAUAAGGGAAUAAAGUGAGUCUCGUGAGACUUUUUGCAUGUACCUUAUGAAUAAGGACCGGCUAAUUCCGUGCCAGCAGCCGCGGUAAUACGGAAGGUCCGGGCGUUAUCCGGAUUUAUUGGGUUUAAAGGGAGCGUAGGCCGGAGAUUAAGCGUGUUGUGAAAUGUAGACGCUCAACGUCUGCACUGCAGCGCGAACUGGUUUCCUUGAGUACGCACAAAGUGGGCGGAAUUCGUGGUGUAGCGGUGAAAUGCUUAGAUAUCACGAAGAACUCCGAUUGCGAAGGCAGCUCACUGGAGCGCAACUGACGCUGAAGCUCGAAAGUGCGGGUAUCGAACAGGAUUAGAUACCCUGGUAGUCCGCACGGUAAACGAUGGAUGCCCGCUGUUGGUCUGAAUAGGUCAGCGGCCAAGCGAAAGCAUUAAGCAUCCCACCUGGGGAGUACGCCGGCAACGGUGCAACUCAAAGGAAUUGACGG